This 383-nucleotide ribosomal RNA is filed under the name uncultured eukaryote. RNAcentral's name for it is "SSU rRNA". It matches the Rfam family "Eukaryotic small subunit ribosomal RNA", at positions 587 to 972 of the family's 1831-position model. The record is from RNAcentral.
AGCUCCAAUAGCGUAUAUUUAAGUUGUUGCAGUUAAAAAGCUCGUAGUUGGAUCUUGGGUCGGGGGGAGCGGUCCGCCCCUUGUGGGUGUGCACUGGUCACUCCGGCCUUUCUGCCGGGGACGCGCUCCUGGCCUUCGCUGGUCGGGACGCGGAGUCGGCGAUGUUACUUUGAAAAAAUUAGAGUGCUCAAAGCAAGCCUAUGCUCUGAAUACAUUAGCAUGGAAUAACGUGAUAGGACUCUGGUCCUUUUGUGUUGGUCUUCGGGACCGGAGUAAUGAUUAAUAGGGACAGUUGGGGGCAUUCGUAUUUCAUUGUCAGAGGUGAAAUUCUUGGAUUUAUGAAAGACGAACUUCUGCGAAAGCAUUUGCCAAGGAUGUUUUCA